Paramuricea clavata is the source of this 1371-nucleotide non-coding RNA. NCBI's taxonomy places the organism in Eukaryota, Metazoa, Cnidaria, Anthozoa, Malacalcyonacea, Plexauridae. The record is from the annotation of a GenBank genome assembly.
UAACUCACACGCUUUGUCUUGCACAAAGAAUUUCUUUUAAUUCAAAAGUGCGUCUGGUGUGUUCGGCAUAACUCGCAAAAUAGUUUAUAUUAUAUAUUACCCACCAUACUUUUGUAUUCAUUCAGGAACACCGUUAUAUUCGAAUUAGUUGAACGUUUUGGAUAAUCUGUCUAUUCUGGUGGUGGUCCUUUUAAUUAAACACUGUCUUAAGCAUGCAGGUAAGGUGUUUCAGAUAACGCAUCAAAUUUUGCCAAAACAUUCCAGAAUUUUAAAACGGUUACUUUGAAAAAUGUACUGAUGUACACAACAAUACGCAAAAUUUUUAUAAUAAUUUAUAAAUUACAUACGAGUAAAGGUCCAGGCACAGCGGACGCGAUUCGACAACGCGACGCGAUUUUUCGAUUUUCAGUGACUGAUAACUUUGAUCCAAGUUUGAAUUUUCCAAAUAUUUAGAAGCUCUAUAACAUUUUGAGUUAUUUGGUCUACAUAUCUUUCAAAAUUUGUUCCCAUUGGCUGUUUUAUUAACUUUCAAAAACUAAAAAGUCGCGUCGCGUUGCCGAAUCGUGUCCGAUGUGUAUGGACCUUAACAUUUACAAAUUAUAUGUGAGCUAUAAAAGAACGAACUAACGCAAACCUGCCGUAUUUAACAUAUAGGAAUACGUUUACGAAAUUAUUUUGAUAGAGAACUCAUCACUUAAUGUAAUAUGUGAUAAUUUUUCCUAUAAUUUUUAAUCAUCCCAUUUGUUUCUAAUUAGUUUUCUACUUUCAUUAUCAAUUGUUCUUAUGUACAAAGCCUAUUUUAUUAUUGAACACUUAAUCUAGUGGCCUCAACCAAAAGUCCAACAGGAUUUACAAAAGUCCCGGCAUAUGUCGUUAUACUAUAUCAUGAUUAUAAAUGAUUUAUUACUUGUAAAUAUUCUUUGUGGCACGAACAUCACAAUGGCCGUGAAAUAGAAUCGAAAUAUUACCUUGAAUUUCGUGUUUGUUUUUUUAAGCAACGUGUAUGUUGUGUUCACAACGUUUGAAAAGUUUACAAAGUUUGUUCUAUUCAGGGACGCCGGAUAGAUAGGGCAGAUAUUCAUAUAUUCGUGUUCACAGAUUGUAAAAAAACAAUCGCUUUCAAAGGAAAUAAGUGAUGCCGAACAUGAAUAUAUGAAUAUCUGCCCCCCCCCAACCCCAUUAUCGAGUUUCCGGCGUCCUGGUUCUAUUUAUCAGUAUUUUAGUCGCGCCAUACAUAACGGGCCAGUAGACUCAAUACUUUAAUUAAUAAUCAAUCUAUUUUUGAAUUGAUUAUAGAUUACCAAAAAGAUCUUUCAUAUGUACAUUUCCUAUACAUGCCUACUUGGCAUCGUUAUAUCAUUCAGCAAAGGU